Molecule: long non-coding RNA, 305 nt
Filed under: Phasianus colchicus (ring-necked pheasant)
Lineage: Eukaryota; Metazoa; Chordata; Aves; Galliformes; Phasianidae
Description: lncRNA (ENSPCLG00000019881.1)
Source: RNAcentral
ACCUCUAGAAAAAGCUAUUUAAUGAUUAACUACUAGUUUCCUUUCUCUCAUAGUUCCUUUUCUUUUACAGUUUAUCUGUUCUGUCUAUUCUGACUCAAAGGUCUUUGAAAUAGAACCUGGCUCUCCAAAUGACAGAAGUAAAUAUGCAUGGGUCUUGGGAAGAGGAUCAAGAUCUCUCACACGCUAGAAAACUCCCAUAACUGCUAAUCUUGGUCUCCUGUGAUAUACAAGAAGUCUAUUGUGGCCCUACCAGAAACCCCUCUACAUUCAGAGACAAUCAGCAAAUGAAAGAAGUCUGGGACUGA